GAGUGAACCACAUUCAGGGUUACCAAUCAAAAUUUUCAAGCGGCGCCAUUCAUUUUGGUUGGGAUCUCUUUUCUUAAGAAAACAAAAAUAGAAAUAAGAGAGGAGUGGUGAAUGCUGGGAAGAGUGAUUUUUCUCCGCCACUGUUAAGUUAUUCGCAUCUACCAUCGUCUCAAUGUUCACUAUUAGUUUUCAAUUUUGAGAAAAGGAAAGUGAAAAAACGGUCCAUAAUUUCUUUUCUCAGUAUACUGUUCAUCAACUUACCUUUAUUUUCUUUCUUCCAAAACUGCAUGAUACUCCCUCUAUACAAACUAACCACUAAUAUAUAUAAUGUUUAUUGUUAUAUAGUUUUUUAGAUAAUAGUUUUUUUUAAGUUUUCAUAUAUUUAUAUAUCGUUUAUUAUUGUAUAGAUUUUUAGAUAUUAAUUUUUACUUCAGAUUAUAUAUUAUUUUAUUUAACUUUUUUUUAUAUACUAUUUGUUUUUAAGAAACAUAUGUAUAUUUGGUUAACUUAUAUUUUUUCAGUAGUUUUAUAUUACGUUGAGACUUUCAGUUUUUUAAGUUUAUAUAUAUUUUUGUUUUUUUUCAUAUAUAUACUUUUUAUUUUUAAGUUUAAUAUAUACAUAUACUUUAGGUUGAUUUACAGUAGUAUAUAUACUUUUGGUUUAGAAGUGAGUCAUCAUUGUUAAUAUUACUACUUUUCGGUUUUGUCUAUAUAUGUACAACUUACAGUUUUCAUUUUUAAUAUGUAUGGAGACUAUUAGUUAGUUUUUAUAUAUUACUUGCAGUUUUCUUUCGGAUCAUAUAUAUAGAUAUAUUACCACUAUUAGUUUGAUUUUAUUUUAUACAAUUUACUGUUAUACAUAUCAUAGAUAUAUAUUACUAUUAGUUUUAAUUCUAUAUAAUUUCGGUCAAAUCUUGCACAUUGCUUUGUUAAUUUUUUAAGUUAGACAUUAUAUAAUAUUAAUUUUAUAUGUAUUUAUAUUUCUUUAGGUUAAUGAAAUAUAUAUAUAUAUAUAUAUAUAUAUAUUAAUAUUGUUUUCACAUUUCAUUUUAUUUUUAGUUGUAUUUCAAUUUUGUACUAAUACAAAUUCAUUGUGGAUAUCGAGUGUUUUGUUUUUAGCUUUUUAUUUUUUUUAAUUACUUUGAUUUGAUGUAAAAGAAAAAAAUUGUAACAUUGCUAUAAUAGUAUUUUGGUUGUUGUUACCUUUCAUUGCAUUGCGACUUCGGAUUUAAAAUCCAAUUUAACUUUUGAAAAUCGCUUGGGCGCAUAGAUUUUGCUCGGCUUCUUAUAGAGUAA
RNAcentral lists this long non-coding RNA (1296 nucleotides) under Lathyrus oleraceus (garden pea). Its description in RNAcentral is "Pisum sativum (pea) long non-coding RNA (PSAT_LNC020633)". Lineage: Eukaryota; Viridiplantae; Streptophyta; Magnoliopsida; Fabales; Fabaceae. The record is from RNAcentral.